RNAcentral lists this ribosomal RNA (429 nucleotides) under uncultured bacterium. RNAcentral describes it as "bacterial SSU rRNA". It matches the Rfam family "Bacterial small subunit ribosomal RNA", at positions 355 to 776 of the family's 1533-position model. The record is from RNAcentral.
UGGGGAAUCUUGGACAAUGGGGGCAACCCUGAUCCAGCAAUGCCGCGUGGGUGAAGAAGGCCUUCGGGUUGUAAAGCCCUUUCGGCGGGGAAGAAAUCGGCCGGGCGAAUAGUCCGGUCGGAUGACGGUACCCGCAGAAGAAGCACCGGCUAACUACGUGCCAGCAGCCGCGGUAAUACGUAGGGUGCGAGCGUUAAUCGGAAUUACUGGGCGUAAAGGGUGCGCAGGCGGUUCUGUAAGACCGGUGUGAAAUCCCCGGGCUCAACCUGGGAAUUGCGCUGGUGACUGCAGGGCUAGAGUACGGUAGAGGGGGGUGGAAUUCCUGGUGUAGCAGUGAAAUGCGUAGAGAUCAGGAGGAACACCGAUGGCGAAGGCAGCCCCCUGGGCCUGUACUGACGCUCAUGCACGAAAGCGUGGGGAGCAAACAGG